CUCUUCUGAAAUGUGUCAGAAAGCAGGAAAUCAGUGUAUUUUUUUGGUAGGAACUGUGGCCCUUCCUCCAGGGUCACAGCAAGCUCCAGAGUAUGGCCCCCCAGUUCCUAUUCAGAACCGCUCUUUCCUGCUUAGACCCUCAUUACAGAAUAGAUCCGUGGUCCUGGGUCUGUUCUCUGAAUUAAGAAGUAGUAACUUUUGGUGGGGGCACCACCUUUGCACCCAUCAUCUCAUCCAUCUAUGGCAAACCUUUCAGGGAUGUAACAGGGCUUUCUGAGAUACAAUCUGAGGCUCUCAAGUGUGGCUGAACAGACCCUGGAAACUGAUGUUGGUACAGGUGUCACUAAUCAAAUAUCCUGUGUUUGCCCACAAUAUCACAUUGCUUUCAUUUACCAGUCUGAGGACCUCUAAAGGAAGUCUUCCUGUCUGAACCUCAAAGGGAAAUUUAUUGGCAUUGUUGAUACCCAGUCAGGAAUAGAAUAAAAUCUUCUGUUCCUGCUACUGUAAAAGUCUUCCCUCCCAACAGUCUUUCAAAUCUUAUUUGUUUAGGAGACCGACACAAACUGAGUACAUCAAUAUGAGAUAACAAUUUAAAAUGAAUCCCAGCAUCUCUUCAUACCUAGAAGGACAUCUAUGAGUUUGCAGCAUCUGUGGGAAUCAUUUCUUUGGGCUGUGUGAGGAGCCAUGCAGCAUAACGGAUGGCAUGCUGUGGCAGGUGGCAGACAGAGAAGUUUUGAUGAGUUCUCCAGAAGUUCAGAGGGAAAGGAGCUAGAGAAACACUUGGAGUUCUUGAGAAGAGCUUGAAAAGAGAAGGUCCAAAGGACAGGCCUCUUAGGAACAUCUACACCACUGAAGGAUCUAGUGGGAAUGGAAGCUGGUUUUGUCCCAAAACCAGAGGAAAACUAUGAGAAAAUUGGACAAGAUGGGGUCCUUACCAUCAUCAGUAUUGUAUGGUUUUAUUAAAUGAAUAUGGCAAAUGUAUUAAGAUCCUAUUAUUCAUGAUUUGAAAAUUUUAGACAAAUAUUUCAGUAAGAUUCAAGAGCACCAUAAUGUAUUAGAGAAUACCAAGUAAUUUAUGCUACAUAAACAUCAGUUUCUUGCUUUGUAAAAUAAUGUUUACCUUAUGGGGUUAUUCUAAGAUUUGAAAUGGUACAUGGUAGGUAUUCAAUAUAUGGAAACUAUUACACAUUCUUUUAUUUAAAAAUUAAUUCAAAUCAGGGACGCCUGGGUGGCUCAGUCAGUUAAACACCUGUCUUUGGCUCAGGUCAUGGUUCUGUCUGGAGUCCUGGGAUUGAGCCCCAGUUGGGCUCCCUGCUCAGUGGGGAGUCUGCUCCUCCCCCACCUUGUGCACAUGCUCGCUCACUCUAGCUCUCAUUCUCUCAAAUAAAAUCUUUUAAAAAUUAAUUCAAACCAAAGAGAGAUAUCUAAAUUCAACCCAAAUACCCACCUCAAAUUUUGGGAAUGGGGUUUCCGUGCCUCCUGCCAUCACCAUCUCUUUUUCCAAUAUCUUCUUGAGUCCUGCUGCCACCAUUCUUGUCCAGGAUCCUCUAUGGUUUACAACAGCCUCCUUAUUGGUUUCACUUUCUUAUUCUCGGCCCACUUCAGUCCAGCUUGCACCCAAAAGAUCACUCUCAACUUACCCAUAGUCAACCCAGAUCUCUAGGCUUUAUUCUUUUGAGUCUAAUAUCCUCUGCCUGGUCUCAGGUUCCAAGAUUCAGCUCUUUAGGGUAUGGUUAGCUGUGGUAUUGUGCUAUAUAAGAAAUAUAUAUUUGGUCUUUGUCCCAGUUAAGCUUUCUCUAAUUCUGUAUAAACUCUAUAUAAACUUCUGUCUCAAUCUGCCUCAUUCUUAUUAAAGGAUGCAGUUUUUCAUUUAAUGGAUAUUAUUUACUCAGACUCAUGUUAAUGGAUAUUCAGGUAUUUUCCAGAUUUUUGCCACUAAAAACACUGCCGCAAUUUAUUGUCUUUGUGCAUAUAAAUAUAAAUAACCUGGAGUACAUUUUCCAGUAAUUUUGAUAGUUACUGCUAUUUGGAAAAAUUGUUUUCCAAAAGUUUUGGUAUACCUGGCUCUGGACAUUAGCAAACUUUUAAAUUUGGCUGGUUUGUUAUUUGGUUCUGAAUCUCAUAGUCCCUCUCAGACACCAGGAGAAAUAAGAAGUCAGGUGUACCCUGAUCUUGCAAACUUUCUUAAGGCAGGGGGUCCUCUCCAGCCCAUUGGGGCCCCUGCUCAGGGCUAAACUUUGAGCUCAUGAGUAAGUAUUCCUUAGCCAGGUUGCGAUUUGGGGUUUGUUUCUUUAGUUGAUCUUUUUUCCUUCCUCUCUUCCUUUGCUACUUGGUUUUUGCGUUUACUGUUUGAGAGGUUAUUAUUACAUUUCAUCUUACUGCAUUGCAAAGUAGAAAAGGAAAUGAAGGGCUGGUGGCCACUUGGGUUUGUCAGGAUGAACUCCUGGGCCCUUGCUCACCCCCAUUCCAUCCUGGUCCUUGGUUCUGUAGGCUCAGAAAUCUCAUUUUGUUGGUAGGCUGGGGGGGGUGGGCUCCAAGGGCCUAGAUCCCACUGACCAGACUCUUAAGGAACAAAUGCAUAUACCCUAAUACUAAUUGUUAUUAAUAGGUAGUAGCAUUUAUUGAGUGCCAUAGUACCAACUGCUUUGUAAAUAUUAAUAAUACAUGUUAUUCACGUAAAACCCUGUUACGGUAGGUAUUCUUUUCCUCCUAAUGCUACUAAUAAAGAAAAUGAGGUUCAGAGAUUAAGGAAUUUCCCCAAGGUUUCACUACUAGUAAAGUUAAGUGUGUUAGUUUAGUUAACUAAAUAAGUAAAGUUAAGAUCUUAACCUGAAUGGUCUGGUUCUAGAAAUCAUGCUCUCUGGAUAUGCUACCUAGAGUCAGAUACCAUCUGCCUUGGAGGGUACCUGGGUGGUCACAAUGCCAUGGUUGUGUUUCCUCCCCUUGUUUCCAGCCCCCUUCUAUAAUAUAGUUGUUGUGGGGGAUCCCUGGGUGGCUCAGCAGUUUGGUGCCUGCCUUCGGCCUGGGCUAUGAUCCUAGAGUCCCGGGAUCAGGUCCCACAUCAGGCUCCCUGCAUGGAGCUGGCUUCUCCCUCUGUGUCUCUCUGCCUCUCUGUCUCUCAUGAAUAAAUAAAUGAAAUUAAACAAAAAAUAUAUAUAUGUAUAUAUAGUUGUUGUGGUAAGAAAUUACUUUGCUAUGUUCAUGGUUUCCCACUCUAUCACUGGACAAGCAAUCCCAGAGUUCACUGAACACAAAGGCUCAUAGGCCAAAUGAAGAGAAAUAGAUCAAAUAACACAAUUAAUUGAAUCCAUUUAACACAUACAACAAGAAGGAAGGGGAAAGUAACGGGGAAGGUUAACACACCUAGAAGAGGGUACAGUGAUGGACACAGUGUCCAACCCUGACUUACACAAUCUGUUGUGCCUAGAUCUGCUGCAUCAGACAUCCCUACUACUGGUGCUGCAGGUCAAAGGAAUUUAUAGCUGAGCAUGAGUGAGGAGGCGGGAGGUGCCUGAAGCUAAUUUAUGCUCACCUGAUCACGAGUAAUCUGCAGAAGAGCUAUGGAUUGCCCUGUGGGUAGCAUGCAGGGCAUAUUCGGUCACAACAGGUAUCACCAAUGGAUGGCUGAUUUAAGGCUUGAAUACUGGGUAUCUCCGGUACCUCAUGAAUAUUCAACAUGGUUCUUGGCCCUUCCACUCCUUCCUAAAUCUAUGUUUACCAAACAUACUCUAUUUCUGUUAACAUGUCUCAGAAGCCAUGCUUAUUUGUCAUUUACAAUUAGUUUCUUCUCAAUUCAUUUCUCUUACUAUAGAAGAAUUGAAUACUUGAAUUUUUUUUU
Molecule: long non-coding RNA, 3838 nt
Organism: Canis lupus familiaris (dog)
Lineage: Eukaryota; Metazoa; Chordata; Mammalia; Carnivora; Canidae
Exons: 3
Source: RefSeq, a predicted model, not a curated record